AUUCUGGCUCAGGAUGAACGCUAGCGACAGGCCUAACACAUGCAAGUCGAGGGGCAGCGCGGGAGAAGCUUGCUUUCCUGGCGGCGACCGGCGCACGGGUGCGUAACAGGUGUGCAAUCUGUCCAUAGUCGGGGGAUAGCCCAGCGAAAGCUGAAUUAAUACUCCAUGUGAAUCGAAGCCGCAUGACUUUGAUUUGAAACGCAAGGACUAUGGGUGAGCACGCUUCUGAUUAGAUAGUUGGUGGGGUAACGGCUCACCAAGUCGACGAUCAGUAGGGUUCUGAGAGGAAGGUCCCCCACAUUGGAACUGAGACACGGUCCAAACUCCUACGGGAGGCAGCAGUGAGGAAUAUUGGUCAAUGGGCGAGAGCCUGAACCAGCCAAGUCGCGUGAAGGAUGAAGGUUCUAUGGAUUGUAAACUUCUUUUGUCCGAGGGUAAAAAAGGCCACGUGUGGCUUCUUGCAAGUAUCGGACGAAUAAGCAUCGGCUAACUCCGUGCCAGCCGCGGC
RNAcentral lists this ribosomal RNA (508 nucleotides) under uncultured bacterium. RNAcentral describes it as "bacterial SSU rRNA". It matches the Rfam family "Bacterial small subunit ribosomal RNA", at positions 16 to 518 of the family's 1533-position model. The record is from RNAcentral.